UGUCCAUGGUUGGGAAUCGAACCCACACUGUUCCGCUUACCGGGCAGAUGCCAUGUCCACUAGGCUACCCUGGAC
This is a non-coding RNA of Cordylochernes scorpioides, 75 nucleotides long. Lineage: Eukaryota; Metazoa; Arthropoda; Arachnida; Pseudoscorpiones; Chernetidae. The record is from the annotation of a GenBank genome assembly.